GGUGAGAAGCAGUUCUUGCAUGACCGGUGGCUAUCACCAUACAUCCACUACCACACAGGCUGUAAAUUACACUGAGCAGUUGGAUAUAAUCUAGACCGUGGACCAUCUUCUUGGAAGCCAGAUUAUUGUGUGUGCCUGUCCCUGGAAGCAACGGUAGAACUUGUGGCCCAUGAACUGCCUCAUAUUGCACCAGAUUAAAAGCAUGAAACUGCAUGGAGAAACACAAGAAAGCUUGUCUCUGCGGUCAGGCGAAGAUGAGGGCAUGAAGAUGUAUAACUGUCCCAGGUGGGAGAAGAGUACACUUUACCUCCUCAGGAUUUGUAACAGAGAUUCUGUUUAUUGGCCCUGGAGGAUGGCAAGGAACCGACACCUGUGCCCAAACGUUUUCCGAACCUUGGCAGAGGCGGGCACGUUCAUUAUGCUGCAGAGCUGUAGUUCCAAGUGUGCUCGAGGCAUGGGAGAGUAGCAGACUUCACCCUUGCAAGGAAAAACAGGUUAAGUAGCAA
Athene cunicularia (burrowing owl) is the source of this 506-nucleotide long non-coding RNA. RefSeq lists it as uncharacterized. The record is from RefSeq and is a predicted model, not a curated record. The transcript has 4 exons. Lineage: Eukaryota; Metazoa; Chordata; Aves; Strigiformes; Strigidae.